This 2913-nucleotide ribosomal RNA is filed under the name Enterococcus faecium EnGen0163. RNAcentral describes it as "bacterial LSU rRNA". It matches the Rfam family "Bacterial large subunit ribosomal RNA". Lineage: Bacteria; Bacillati; Bacillota; Bacilli; Lactobacillales; Enterococcaceae. The record is from RNAcentral.
UUAAGUGAAUAAGGGCGCACGGUGGAUGCCUUGGCACUAGGAGCCGAUGAAGGACGGGACUAACACCGAUAUGCUUUGGGGAGCUGUACGUAAGCUAUGAUCCAGAGAUUUCCGAAUGGGGGAACCCAACAUCUUUAAUAGGAUGUUACGAUUGUGUGAAUACAUAGCACAUUCGAGGUAGACGCAGAGAACUGAAACAUCUAAGUACCUGCAGGAAGAGAAAGAAAAUUCGAUUCCCUGAGUAGCGGCGAGCGAAACGGGAAAAGCCCAAACCAGCAAGCUUGCUUGUUGGGGUUGUAGGACUCCAAUAUGGUAGUUCUUUCAGAUAGUCGAAUGACUUGGAAAAGUCAGUCAAAGAGGGUAAAAACCCCGUAGACGAAAUGUGGAAGACACCUAGGAGGAUCCUGAGUACGGCGGAACACGAGAAAUUCCGUCGGAAUCCGGGAGGACCAUCUCCCAAGGCUAAAUACUCCCUAGUGACCGAUAGUGAACCAGUACCGUGAGGGAAAGGUGAAAAGCACCCCGGAAGGGGAGUGAAAUAGAACCUGAAACCGUGUGCCUACAACAAGUCAAAGCCCGUUAAUGGGUGAUGGCGUGCCUUUUGUAGAAUGAACCGGCGAGUUACGAUUGCAUGCGAGGUUAAGUUGAAGAGACGGAGCCGCAGCGAAAGCGAGUCUGAAUAGGGCGUUUGAGUAUGUAGUCGUAGACCCGAAACCAUGUGAUCUACCCAUGUCCAGGUUGAAGGUGCGGUAAAACGCACUGGAGGACCGAACCCACGUACGUUGAAAAGUGCGGGGAUGAGGUGUGGGUAGCGGAGAAAUUCCAAACGAACUUGGAGAUAGCUGGUUCUCUCCGAAAUAGCUUUAGGGCUAGCCUCGGAAUUGAGAAUGAUGGAGGUAGAGCACUGUUUGGACUAGGGGCCCAUCUCGGGUUACCGAAUUCAGAUAAACUCCGAAUGCCAUUCAUUCAUAUCCGGGAGUCAGACUGUGAGUGAUAAGAUCCAUAGUCGAAAGGGAAACAGCCCAGACCACCAGCUAAGGUCCCAAAAUAUAUGUUAAGUGGAAAAGGAUGUUGGGUUGCACAGACAACUAGGAUGUUGGCUUAGAAGCAGCCAUCAUUUAAAGAGUGCGUAAUAGCUCACUAGUCGAGUGACCCUGCGCCGAAAAUGUACCGGGGCUAAACAUAUUACCGAAGCUGUGGAGUACACCUUUAGGUGUAUUGGUAGGAGAGCGUUCUAAGGGCGUCGAAGGCAGAUCGUGAGGACUGCUGGAGCGCUUAGAAGUGAGAAUGCCGGUAUGAGUAGCGAAAGACAGGUGAGAAUCCUGUCCACCGAAUGACUAAGGUUUCCUGGGGAAGGCUCGUCCGCCCAGGGUUAGUCGGGACCUAAGCCGAGGCCGACAGGCGUAGGCGAUGGAUAACAGGUUGAUAUUCCUGUACCCGUUGUUUUUGUUUGAGCAAUGGAGGGACGCAGGAGGCUAAGGAAUGCAGACGAUCGGAAAUGUCUGUCCAAGCAGUAAGUCUGAAGAGGAGUCAAAUGCUUCUUUUCUUAAGGACAAGCUGUGAUGGGGAGGGAAAUAAUAGUACCGAAGUUCCUGAUGUCACACUGCCGAGAAAAGCUUCUAGUGAGAAAACAGCGGCCCGUACCGCAAACCGACACAGGUAGUCGAGGAGAGAAUCCUAAGGUGAGCGAGAGAACUCUCGUUAAGGAACUCGGCAAAAUGACCCCGUAACUUCGGGAGAAGGGGUGCUGAUCAUACGAUCAGCCGCAGUGAAUAGGCCCAAGCGACUGUUUAUCAAAAACACAGGUCUCUGCAAAAUCGUAAGAUGAAGUAUAGGGGCUGACGCCUGCCCGGUGCUGGAAGGUUAAGAGGAGUGCUUAGCGCAAGCGAAGGUACGAAUUGAAGCCCCAGUAAACGGCGGCCGUAACUAUAACGGUCCUAAGGUAGCGAAAUUCCUUGUCGGGUAAGUUCCGACCCGCACGAAAGGCGUAACGAUUUGGGCACUGUCUCAACGAGAGACUCGGUGAAAUUUUAGUACCUGUGAAGAUGCAGGUUACCCGCGACAGGACGGAAAGACCCCAUGGAGCUUUACUGUAGUUUGAUAUUGAGUGUCUGUACCGCAUGUACAGGAUAGGUAGGAGCCGUAGAAAUCGGAACGCUAGUUUCGAUGGAGGCGCUGGUGGGAUACUACCCCUGCGUUAUGGCCACUCUAACCCGCACCACUAAUCGUGGUGGGAGACAGUGUCAGAUGGGCAGUUUGACUGGGGCGGUCGCCUCCUAAAAGGUAACGGAGGCGCCCAAAGGUUCCCUCAGAAUGGUUGGAAAUCAUUCGAAGAGUGUAAAGGCAGAAGGGAGCUUGACUGCGAGACCAACAAGUCGAGCAGGGACGAAAGUCGGGCUUAGUGAUCCGGUGGUUCCGCAUGGAAGGGCCAUCGCUCAACGGAUAAAAGCUACCCUGGGGAUAACAGGCUUAUCUCCCCCAAGAGUCCACAUCGACGGGGAGGUUUGGCACCUCGAUGUCGGCUCGUCGCAUCCUGGGGCUGUAGUCGGUCCCAAGGGUUGGGCUGUUCGCCCAUUAAAGCGGCACGCGAGCUGGGUUCAGAACGUCGUGAGACAGUUCGGUCCCUAUCCGUCGCGGGCGUUGGAAAUUUGAGAGGAGCUGUCCUUAGUACGAGAGGACCGGGAUGGACUUACCGCUGGUGUACCAGUUGUUCUGCCAAGGGCAUUGCUGGGUAGCUAUGUAGGGAAGGGAUAAACGCUGAAAGCAUCUAAGUGUGAAGCCCACCUCAAGAUGAGAUUUCCCAUUUCUUUAAGAAAGUAAGAUCCCUGAGAGAUGAUCAGGUAGAUAGGUCAGGAGUGGAAGUACAGUGAUGUAUGGAGCGGACUGAUACUAAUCGAUCGAGGACUUAACCAA